CCCUUAGAUGUUCUGGGCCGCACACGCGCUACACUGAAGGAGGCAGCGUGUACUCCUGGAUCGAAAGAUUUGGGUAACCCGCGAAUCUCCUUCGUGCUAGGGAUUGUGGUUUGCAAUUAUCCUUCAUGAACGAGGAAUUCCCAGUAAGUGCAAGUCAUAAGCUUGCGCUGACUACGUCCCUGCCCUUUGUACACACCGCCCGUCGCUACUACCGAUUGAAUGAUUUAGUGAGGACUUCGGACUGGGACCGAUGCGGCUUUCGGGCUGCGUCGGUAUUCUGGAAAGAUGUCCAAACUGUAUCAUUUAGAGGAAGUAAAAGUCGUAACA
RNAcentral lists this ribosomal RNA (327 nucleotides) under uncultured eukaryote. RNAcentral's name for it is "partial 18S ribosomal RNA". It matches the Rfam family "Eukaryotic small subunit ribosomal RNA", at positions 1470 to 1796 of the family's 1831-position model. The record is from RNAcentral.